UGCUGCCUGUAGUACCGUCUUUUCUAUGCGAGAGGGCGGGAAAAUAGAUGCUCUCUAAUAAACAUUUGGGGAAGUUUUCCUUCUUAUUUCCCCCUGAAACUGUUGUAAACACACCUGGUAUUUAAUAUGAUUUUGUGACUUGCCGGUGCUCAUUUACCUGGUUUCAUAAACUUGGUGUAGAAGUGAAGGGUGGACCUUUGUGGUGACAACAACAUGCAACUGCAGGCAGCUCAAGCUAAAGCUUAGCACUUAAGUAUCUGCAGGUGAGCUGGAGCGCCUGAUGGUGCGUCUGCCCGUUUCUCCCCGUCCUUAACCAGACAGUCGAGAAGAACGGGACUAAGUCUAUUUGGAGGAGACAAGCGGACCUGAGCCUUAUUGUUUUGAGCUUGUGAGUUGCCUGAAACCACCAGAGCCGACCCAACAGAACCAGCUCUGAAUGUUGCCAAGAGUCACAGCCCAGUCUCAGCAGUCAGGAACAUUUUACCUCACACUGACUGAACGUCUGUCUACUGCAGAACACCUACGAGCCAACGGGGAAGGGAGGAGAUGAGGCUCCCUGCUGUCUCCAGACCUGAGAAAAACAGCCGGAUCUAGAAGAUUGCCAAAUCAGAUGAGAGCUUCAGAUGGCAGGAUUUGGAGUUUGACUUCCUGAUACUUGGGCAUCUCACCUCUGAAUGGCUAACGAAAAUGCAACUCUACUGACUCUGUUUACUUUUCAACUUGGAUGUUUUAUCUUCACAAAUAACACCAGCCUGGAGGAGCUUCUGCUGUAUUGUGGAGUUGGAAAUGCUAACGUUUACUUCUACUAGCUAAGAUGUUCUCUGCUGUUUCAUGGAUGCUAAAACAUAAGCAGCCUUUCCUGUCAUGAGUCAAGAUGGGUGAGUCCAUGAAAGUUAAAUGACAGUGUGACGUAGAUCUGUGAGAAUUUUCAAAUCCUAGAGUUUCACAGUCUAUUUUCUAUCAGAAGCUAAGGGGAUAGGUAUAGGAGACUAUUUUCAUGUUCAACCUGCAUGAGAAACUCAGAGUGACUGGUUAUAAUCAGAAAUAAUCAUUUAAAAGUUGUUUUUCAGUGAACCACACCUUUAACUACCAAAAAACAUCUGCUCCUAAUAACAAGAAGGAAAACCGUUGGUGAGCUUCCCUUGUCUUUCUGUGCACCAUCCCUGUGGUGUAGUCUCCCUCCUUAACUCUCAAGAAAUCAGAUUGGCAGGGACGGCGUUAGGCCUGGCUACUUGGGCUGAAGCCCCGAAUCUUUAAUGAAAAGCACCGGAUCUCAAACGUGGAAGUAACAUGCAGUACCAAAGUCCAACAGAGAGGGAGCAGCUAGCAGUAGUUUGUAUACAGCCUGCCUGAGCCUCCACCACUGAAGAAGAAGCCCUUCAGCAGCUGGUUUCUUCUACACUGCCUUGUUUCUUCUACACUCUGCCUGAAACGCAUGAGUGAAGAUGGACAUAAGGACGUUUUUUAGAUCAAAAGUACCGCGACAGAACCCCAGCUUUGAUGAGACUGGUGUUGACUAAGGUUUGAGUCUUAUUUGAAAAUAUUUGUUGUGCUGCUGGUUUGCCUAAAGUUAGCUUACUAUCAGGUAAUGGUUGAUGGAGAAAGAAAGGGAAUAUUUACUAUCAUCUCACAUACUAACAGGAACAAUAUUCUGCCCUGAAUAUGCUUAAUAUGUAGCUUCAGAUUAAAAAUUAUGUGGUACAAGACAAAUAUAUAUGAUGUUGACUAGUGCAUGUCACGUGUGUGUGUGUGUGUGUGUGCGUGCGCACGUGUGUGUGUUAAGCCCCGGAUCUUCUUUAGUCCUUAAUCCGUCCCUGCAGAUUGGCAAGCUCGAUGUAUGUUUUUAAAGCACAGUUAACGACGUUCAUGUCCACACUAUCUUUUAUGUUCUAGCUUUUAUCUGAACAGUUUUAAAUACCUUGUGUUGUAUUUUUAUCAAGUAGCAGUCAGGUCUUACUGCUGUUUACUGUUGUCGUUGUUUUAAAUACUGGGCUUACCUUUUAUCACUGUCGGUUCUGCUUUUAAUUGUUCAGAGCUGUGACUGAAAGCACUUUGUGAAUAAAAUAAGUUACAGCAGUAGCUCAGGAGGUAGAGCGGGUUGUCCCGUAAUCGGAAGGUUGCAUGGAUGGUUCAGUCCUGGCUUUGACAAGAUAAUGCUGCUGUUGUGUCCUUGGGCAAGACACAACCUACCUUGCCUGCUGUUGGUUGGUGGAGGGACCGGUGUCGCCUGUGUACAGCAGGCCUCACUUCUUUCAUUGCGCCCCAGGGUAGCUGUGGCUACAUCAUAGCUCAUCCCCACCAGUGUGUGAAUGAGUAAAUGACUGACUGUGUUGUGAAGCACCUUGAGGGAUUGUAGAACCCUAAGAAGACCAUCCAUCCAUCCAACCAUCCAUUUUCUGAACCCGCUUUGUCCACGCAGGGUCGCCGGGGGGCUGGUGCCUAUGUCCAGCGGUCAACGGGCAAUCAGGCGGGGUACACCCUGGACAGAGAGCCAGUCCAUCGCAGGGCAACACAGAGAACCCUAAGAAGACAUUAUACAAAAGCAGACCAUUUACCAUUUAAAGAUUUUAUUAUCAUUAAAAAUAAAGAAUGGUGAAAAAGCUGAUGUUGCACUCAGCUGGUGUCAGAAAGGAGCCCCAGAGGAAUAGCCUCUCUGGGUUUUCAACAGCAUGCAAGCCAACUAGCUCCCGAAGGAGAAACAUGUUAACUCAGACAUUCACGUGAUUUGCUCCACAGCAUUAUCCCACUCUGCUGCAUCACAAUUUCAAGGUCUAACUAGGUUUUAUGUGCACACUGAUGUUUAUUUGUCCGUUAUGAAACUGAUUCACCGGUGAAUCACUGCAAAUCAAAACAUGGAUGAUUUCACACAAACAAGAGAGUGUGCAUAGGGUAAUCUGUCUGUCAAUAAUACAAACCUGGGUAGCUUGUAGAGCAGGAAACAGGAGUUAGAGUGAGCUGGUCUAACUUUCCACACACUGAUCCUCAGGUGUCACGCUGCCAUUCUCCAAACACCUGAAAAUGUGUUCGGGGACACAGCAACUGCCCCAGUCUAAAUGUAAUUUAUGUUAAUUUAGCGAUUUAACAGACGUACUGCAUCAUUAUAAAAGCUGGAUUAGUUUUGCUUUUCUACACGGUGUGUGUAAAAUGGACAAUGGGCUGUUUGUGUGUUUGCAUGAACAGAAAACAAAACGACCAACUAAAACAAGAACAAAUUAACAAGAUUCACACCUCUAAUCUGUUAAUCAUGCAAGUCCGUAAGUCUUUGACAAAAUAAUAAUUUAGAAGAACAUUGCAUCCUUGUGUGGCUGGUCUUCAUCCUGUUCCCGACCCUGAAGGGCUGAGGCAUAUCCAGGCUGACACUUGGCAAUCCGAGGGUUCACCCUGGAAGGUUUCCCAGCCCAUCAAACGACGAGCACACAGAGACAUAUAAGCAUGCACACUGAUACCGACAGCCAGCUUCAAAUGUCUCUGUCUCUGUCCAUCAGUCUGAGACUUCCUGGCUCAGAUGGAACAGAGAGCAGACUUACGUCACAGACAGCAGGGUUCUGCUCCUCAAGGUUGGAGGGUUUCGCAUUUGGUAGUCGCCUAUGCUGUCAGGUUGUUUCCCAACGUGCGUCUCACACAAGUGCACUGACAUGGUGGUACCAAAGAUUAAUUUUUGUUCAUAAAGGCAUUUUUGCUGUCAGUGUUAAAGGCUUUUCCACUCUAACUGUACUUAUUUGUUAGCAUGCAACGCGUAUCCAAUACAGUGCAGAGGAAAAUUGUGUUACUUUGCAGAGAUUCCAUUUAAAUGAAUGGAUUUGGUCAAAAAAGUACAAACACGUGUGUGACUUAGCUCUAACCCUCCACUGCAUUUUCAUGAUUCACUUUUUAUUGCCGGAUGCGAGCCAUAAUUUCCGGACUGUUACUAAGUAAAGCGUCCAUUUAUACCCCUUGCUUUAACGUAUGCAAGUUGGCUCGGGAACCUAUCCACGGCCCUGAAGCACUUUGAGUUGGAUUUGGUGAGGGAUUUAAACACCACCACCACCACUGUGUUGGAGAAGCAGCUUUACAUUAAAGGUUUGGUCUCACACAAAAUCAACACAUUGUAAACUAAAGCAUAUGUUCAUGCAUAUAUGAACGCGAGGUCCCUUUUUACUAUAUCACACAAUGCUUAAAUGGAUACAUUUGAACUGAACUUGAGGACAUCAUAUUUUACCAGCAGGUGGAACCCCCUUGUUGGUUAUCCAGCAAAAGGGCAGUUCCACACAGCUAUUACCCCAUUUUUUCCACCGGACAUGAAAAUGGUUGUGAAACUUACUACACGUCAGUAAGCCACAGACGACAGUAAAGUGGAAGGUUUUGGACGUGUCCCAGAAGCGACAGGACGUUUCAAGUCUAUUUCUUAGGAGCUACACUUCCAAAACCCGUCAAACUCUGUAGUGACGUUCAGGCCAGACAGGAAGUCAAACACAGAAGCAGUAUUAAACAUCUGGAAACUUUCAAAGUAAAUGUCAUGUGCAGACUUAGUAUGUCAUUUCCUGUGAAACCCUAUAUAACCAAUGUAAACAGAACAGAAAAUAGAGCGACGGUAGCACAGGAGUUAAGUGCUCACCCCGUAAUCGGAAGGUUGCAGGUUCGAGCCCCGCUCAGUCUGUCACUGUCAUUGUGUCCUUGGGCAAGACGUUUAACCCCCCUUGCCUGCUGGUGGUGUUUGGAGGCACCGGUGGUGCCUGUGUUCAGCAAGCCUCGCCUCUGUCAGUGUGCCCCAGGGCAGCUGUGGCUACAUCCUAGCUCAUCACCACCAGGGUGUGAAUGUGUAUGUGAAGGGGUGAAUGACUGAUUGGGUUGUAAAGUGCCUUGGGGGGUUCCAGGACUCUAGAAGGCGCUAUAUCAAAUACAGGCCAUUUACCAUAAACCACUGACAUUGUUGGAUACAUGCUGCCAUGUUUCCCCUUGCUUGUUAUUGUGUGGACCUCUAAAAUCCCGCGUGGUGUUGCAAUUCUCCUGUGAUUUUGUGAUUUUGCGGAACCAGUGGCGUGGAACGUUUUUGCUCCUAUUUUGUGUCAAUUGCUGAGGGAGCUUGGAGGUAAAAUGCCGCUUUUACGUUACACGCCGCUUUCAAGUGGAAAGAAGGGGUUGGAUUAGCUGAUGUUUCCAUCAAACUAUAAAGUUUCCUUAACCAUAAACACACACAGUUGUUUAUGGUUAACAAGCCAGAGUCCAAUCCAGCUCUUUUUCCAUGUGGUGAGAUUCAAAUCAUGGAUGUGCAGCUGCAAAUCAGCUUAGUGAUGCUUUCAUGUAAUGAGACCAAGAUCUCUUGUAUUCAUUUGAAGACAAUUUUAAAGGAAAAUGCGAUCCAACCUGGUUCUAGCAUUGGUCUAAAUGUAGUUUAAACAUGUGAAAAGGAAGCUCAAGUAUACUCCUAAUUCAUGUAAUCACACUUUAAUAAUCGUUUUUCCCAAUUUCCAUUAGCAGGAUAAACAGAGGGGUGCUACAAACAAAUGAUGAAGGUGAAAAGCUUAUCUGCUCUGUGAUCGAGUUUGAUCUGCAACACGACAAAAUGCCUUAGUCCAGAGAAUUCACUUCGAGGCAUCAUCUAGGUGAAUCAUUUAUGCAAGAAUUAAAACUUAUCUGUAAAUUCAAGACUACUUAGGUACAAAUGUGCCCUAUUUGAUUCAAAAACCCUACAUAGUUUAACCUGCCUGUACAGUCCAAGUCCCUCAGAGAAAUGUUUGAAAUCUUAUCUCAGAUUCUUGCAAAAGAAGAAGUUUUCAUCAGUAUUUUCCAAGUUACUUGAUCUGUUUCACAUGUCGUGUUCAGCUGCAUAUUAGAACUUUGAUUGGUUGAUAAAAACAUUGUAUUUCAGCAUUUAAUCUAAUUACAACUUACUUUUGCAGAACAACUAAGGCGUUGCAUUAGAAAAACCCAUCCCUGAUGUUUUAAUGAUGUCUAUAGAUGAGAAGGCUUUCAUGAAGAGAGCUGUGGCUCCAACUAAAGACAGAUGGUUCACAGCCAGAUGUGAAGGGGGUUGGAAAACGGAGCAGAUCAGCAGCAUCAGUCCUGGACAAGGAGAUGGUUCAACAGGGCAGAUGUUAAGUCUUUGCUUUUUUUUUCUAAAGACUUAAUUUAGGAAUAGUUUGGGAGAAGAUAUUAACCCUCUCAGGCUCAAAAUAAGUUUUGAUAAAAGGACAAACAACUAAGUCCU
Molecule: long non-coding RNA, 6187 nt
Organism: Nothobranchius furzeri (turquoise killifish)
Lineage: Eukaryota; Metazoa; Chordata; Actinopteri; Cyprinodontiformes; Nothobranchiidae
Source: RefSeq, a predicted model, not a curated record